RNAcentral lists this ribosomal RNA (857 nucleotides) under uncultured bacterium. RNAcentral's name for it is "SSU rRNA". It matches the Rfam family "Bacterial small subunit ribosomal RNA", at positions 524 to 1381 of the family's 1533-position model. The record is from RNAcentral.
UACGGAGGGUGCAAGCGUUACUCGGAAUCACUGGGCGUAAAGCGCGCGCAGGCGGCCUUUUAAGUUGGAUGUGAAAGCCUACGGCUUAACCGUAGAACUGCAUCCAAAACUACUAGGCUAGAGUGUGGGAGAGGAAGAUGGAAUUAGUUGUGUAGGGGUAAAAUCCGUAGAGAUAACUAGGAAUACCAAAAGCGAAGGCAAUCUUCUGGAACACUACUGACGCUGAGGCGCGAAAGCGUGGGGAGCAAACAGGAUUAGAUACCCUGGUAGUCCACGCCCUAAACGAUGAAUGUUAGUCGUCGGGUAGCUAGUCUAUUCGGUGAUGCAGCUAACGCAUUAAACAUUCCGCCUGGGGAGUACGGUCGCAAGAUUAAAACUCAAAGGAAUAGACGGGGACCCGCACAAGUGGUGGAGCAUGUGGUUUAAUUCGAAGAUACGCGAAGAACCUUACCUAGCCUUGACAUAUAUUAGAACACUUUAGAGAUAGAGUGGUGCCUUCGGGAGCUUUUAUACAGGUGCUGCACGGCUGUCGUCAGCUCGUGUCGUGAGAUGUUGGGUUAAGUCCCGCAACGAGCGCAACCCUCGUCACUAGUUACUAACGGUUCGGCCGAGGACUCUAGUGAGACUGCCUUCGCAAGGAGGAGGAAGGUGAGGACGACGUCAAGUCAUCAUGGCCCUUACGGCUAGGGCAACACACGUGCUACAAUGGCCAGGACAAUGAGACGCAAUACCGCGAGGUGGAGCAAAUCUAUAAACCUGGUCUCAGUUCGGAUUGUAGUCUGCAACUCGACUACAUGAAGCUGGAAUCACUAGUAAUCGUAGAUCAGCUAUGCUACGGUGAAUACGUUCCCGGGUCU